AUUGACGGAAGGGCACCACCAGGGGAGCCUGCGGCUUAAUU
RNAcentral lists this ribosomal RNA (41 nucleotides) under Cladonia gracilis. RNAcentral's name for it is "partial small subunit ribosomal RNA". Lineage: Eukaryota; Fungi; Ascomycota; Lecanoromycetes; Lecanorales; Cladoniaceae. The record is from RNAcentral. RNAcentral also lists the same sequence under 1 other name.